GGCAGAACAGCUGGCCCACAGAGGUCAGACAACCAGGUGCUUGGGGAAAACCUUGGGCUACAACCAACUCUGGAAGAACUCAGCUGUAGCACACGGGAAUGAGUUGCGGAACAGUUCCAGAGACCAACAGGGAGGCGUUCAUCAGAACCUCAAAUUCAAUCAGAGUCCUGCUGUUCAGAGGUAUUUCUAAAUGUGCCAAGUCUUAAUUGAAGUGGAAGUGCCCGGAACCAAAGUUAAUACCAGGAACAACAGGGAGCCCAAUUUAUGGAGAGUAGAUUCAAUAAUCUACCCUAAUCCUAUUAAAGAGCCCCUACCAAUGGUUGAAAAAAUUACUAAGCUGUCCCGUCGGACGUGAGCAGCUGCACUUCCCCUGGUGGUUCUCAAGGACUUGAAAAUAUUUCCCAGACCUCAGUCCUCAAGGACUUGAAAACAUUCCUCAGACCUCAAGGUUCCAGGCCCGUCACAAAGUUCAGCCAGGGCACAGCCGUUGCCUAAGAUAGAUAACGAGCCAGUCAGCCAGACAGCCACAAGCGUGCGUGUUUGCAUGAAGGUCUGGCACCGAUUACCAAACUCCCCUUGUACGCCCGCCACCCCGUUUGCGGUUUCAGGCUUUAAAAACUUGCUGUAAUUACUGGUCGGGGUUCACUCCUUCCCAAGGCUGCUGAACCCUCGCGA
Mesocricetus auratus (golden hamster) is the source of this 675-nucleotide long non-coding RNA. RefSeq lists it as uncharacterized. The record is from RefSeq and is a predicted model, not a curated record. The transcript is spliced from 3 exons. Lineage: Eukaryota; Metazoa; Chordata; Mammalia; Rodentia; Cricetidae.